CUGUAGUGGAAAAGGGACCCAGAUCUUUUUCUCUUUUUUUCCAUCCCUGUUUGAGUUGCUCUGGGAAAAAUACAUGUUUUACGGAGGGAAAUUAAAGUGCGAGCCCGGACCACACAGUAGCAACCGCCAGCCGAGGGAUGUUACCCGCGAGCGUGCAAGCUUCCUCAUCUGCAAAAUAGGAUCGUACAUGUUUCUAUUGCCAACUGAAUUUUUCUGUUUGGUCUGAUUUUCAGAAGAACAAGGAAGGAAAAAGGGCAGUGAAAAAGAGAGCAGAAGACCAGGGGGCGAACGGAAAAGAAAGAAGAAGAAGAAACAGGGUAAAAAUAAGACGAGCCAAAGAAAGGAGAGCAACCGUCAGCACUCACCCCACAGAGUAUAAAGGCAGAAAGGAAAAGACGAGGUGAAGAGAUGAAGCCACUAAAGAGACAGAGGGGAUGCUCUCCCCCCUCCACGCGGGCCAAAGGGGGGAAGAAGAGAGGGCCGACAGAGACCCCCCCAGAGAGGGACAACAGGAACAAACUCAGGAAGGAGAACCAAGACGGACAGCCUCAAUCCACGACCCCCGCCCACUUGCUACGGAAACAAUCCAGAACCUCCUCUGACAGCUCUCAGCGGGAGCCAAUCAGAGGCAGUGAAACCCCAAAGAAGGAGGGACCUAGAGAGCAGGUGCUGCCAAGGCAACCUGAAGAUAAAGAGAAGACCGAGGACAGCAGAGGGGGGGUUGGGGGGAAACCAGGGGGGCCUAACAGCACCCCCACCUCCUCCCAUAACAACAUCCUCACCAUCCCCACCCCCACUACCAGUCCCAGCCCUACCUCCAUGUCCAGUAGGAAAACAGCCACCUUCAAGGCCAGAGUCCCCAAGAAGAAGUACAUUGCUGAACACUAUGCUGGUAGCAAUGCGCCCAGCCUCACCUUCACCCCUGCCCCCAUGCACAACAGCCACAGUAACUACAGUAGUACUAGCAGUAGUAUUAACAUCAUCAACAGCAGUAGUACUAACAGUAAUAACAGUAGUAAUACCAUUAGUAACAGUAGUAGGACCAACACUACUAUUAAUGGUAUUAACAGUGGUACUAAUAGCAUUAGUAACAGCAUUAGUAACAGCAUAAGUAACAGCAUAAGUAACAGCAUUAGUAACAGCAUUAGUAACAGCAUUAGUAACAGCAUUAGUAACAGCAUUAGUAACAGCAUUAGUAACAGCAUAAGUAACAGCAUUAGUAACAGCAUUAGUAACAGCAUUAGUAACAGCCAUAGUAGCAGCUCAGUCAGCCACUCGUUAGCCCCCAGUGUGUCCAAUGAGGAGAGGAUGGUAACCGCUAGCAGCCACAGCCAUGGCCCGGGGGAACAGGGAAUGACAGGGGCCUCCAUAGGGCCCAACAAUGGUACUGUGGCCCCCCAGGACAGAGAAAGAGACCCCCAGGGUGGUGAGACAGAGGCAGAGGGGGCCCCUAACUCAGUACGCUCCGUAUCCACGGAUACAGCCAGUGAGCACGAUCUGGAGGUGAACUCCCAGCCCAGUACCAGCCCUGCUAGAGCCCCCUACCAUGGCAGCCUGCCCCCUUACUCUGCUACUACCUCCCAGCCCGGCACCGGCCCCAACCAGAGCCACAGAAAGGGCAGUCUGUCCGGGGCGGAUGCUCUGGCCAAAGGCCUGAAGAACCAGAGAGUUCUAGCCCGCUGUCGAUGGAGAGACAGACUUAACGGAGAGCAAGGUGGGAGGGAGAGAGAGAGGGAUGGACCCCUGUCUCCUAUGUUCAGGACUGGGGUGGUGCGGCGGGUGAGUGGGGGCAGCGCUGAUAUCCAGCUGCAGGGGGAGGAGGGGAUACUCUGUUACCCCUUUCAUGGGGGGACCGCACACCCGGAGUGGGAGGAGACGAGCGUGGAGUUCAUCCUGGACGCCCCUCCACCCGGCACGGCGUCCGUGGCCAUCGGGACACGCGUAUGUGUGCCUUUCG
Long non-coding RNA from Oncorhynchus tshawytscha (Chinook salmon), 1957 nucleotides. Lineage: Eukaryota; Metazoa; Chordata; Actinopteri; Salmoniformes; Salmonidae. The record is from Ensembl.